This 1698-nucleotide ribosomal RNA is filed under the name Schismatogobius marmoratus. Its description in RNAcentral is "16S ribosomal RNA". It matches the Rfam family "Bacterial large subunit ribosomal RNA". Lineage: Eukaryota; Metazoa; Chordata; Actinopteri; Gobiiformes; Gobiidae. The record is from RNAcentral.
CACCUGCCUUAACAGCUAGCCCAACCACAAGUUUUAUCAAUCAACAUUAACUAAACCCUCACACCCUUCAUAGUAAAACUAAAUCAUUUUUCCACCUAAGUAUGGGAGACAAAAAAGGACUUUAGGCGCUAUAGAAUAAGUACCGCAAGGGAAAGGUGAAAGAGAAAAUGAAAGAAAGCACCAAAGGCAAGAACAGCAGAGAUUACCCCUCGUACCUUUUGCAUCAUGAGCUAGCCAGUACCUUGCAAGCAAAGAGCCCUUAACGUUUGAGGCCCCGAAACUGGGCGAGCUACUCCAAGACAGCCUAUUUUAGGGCGAACCCGUCUCUGUGGCAAAAGAGUGGGAAGAGCUUCGAGUAGAGGUGAAAGACCUACCGAGCCCAGUGAUAGCUGGUUUUCUGGGAAAUGAACAGGAGUUCUCCCUUUUAUUCUCCUUCCCCCAAAUUUAGGCUCACAGCCUCCCAGGGAUCAAAGGAAGUAAAAGAGCUAGUCAACAGAGGGACAGCUCUCUUGACAAAAAGAAACAACUUUAUUAGGAGGAAAAGGACUAAAACCAACCUAAAGGGGCGCACCUUAGUGGGCCUAAAAGCAGCCACCUACAAAGAAAGCGUUAAAGCUCAAGAGCAACUCUUCCUUAUAAUUUUAGCAAAACCAUCCCAUGCCCCUUAAAACUACCAGAACCUCCCAUGUAUACAUGGGAAAGACAAUGCUAGCAUGAGUAAUAAGAGAGCAGAGCCUCUCUCCUUGUCAUCUGUGUAACUCAGAACAAACCCCCACUGACAAUUAACGCCGCCACCUCCAGAGGCAACUGAAGGAGCCCACAGGAAACUAGAAAAGCUCUCAACACCAAAGCGUUAUCCCCACACAGGAAUGACUAAGGAAAGACAAAAAGGGAAAGAAGGAACUCGGCAAACAAAUUUAUUGCCCCGCCUGUUUACCAAAAACAUCGCCUCUUGCCCAAACCCCUAUAAGAGGUCCCGCCUGCCCUGUGACUAGUAGUUCAACGGCCGCGGUAUUUUGACCGUGCGAAGGUAGCGUAAUCACUUGUCUUUUAAAUGAAGACCUGUAUGAAUGGCAUAACGAGGGCUAAGCUGUCUCCUUUUCCAAGUCAAUGAAAUUGAUUUGCCCGUGCAGAAGCGGGCAUACCCCCAUAAGACGAGAAGACCCUAUGGAGCUUCAGACCCCUGGACGGACCAUGUUAAAAGGACCAAAACACCGGCCGUAAACAAAGUGGCCCCGUUCACAGUCUUUGGUUGGGGCGACCGCGGAGCAACGAGAAUCCUCCACGUGGAAUGGGGACUUCCCCCUUGACGCAAGACCUACAGGUCUAGCAAACAGAAAAUCUGACCAUAAAGAUCCGGCAAAGCCGAUCAACGGACCGAGUUACCCUAGGGAUAACAGCGCAAUUCUCUUCUAGAGCCCAUAUCGACAAGAGAGUUUACGACCUCGAUGUUGGAUCAGGACAUCCUAAUGGUGCAGCCGCUAUUAAGGGUUCGUUUGUUCAACGAUUAAAGUCCUACGUGAUCUGAGUUCAGACCGGAGCAAUCCAGGUCAGUUUCUAUCUAUGGAUAGAUCCCUUUUCUAGUACGAAAGGACCGAAAAGGGAGGGCCCAUGCUUAAAGCACGCCCUGCCUCAACCCCCUGCCCCCUACUAAAGAGGGCAAAGAGGCACGCCCCAAAAAGCCCAAGAAAAGGGCUA